AGUGCAGGAGGGUCCCUCUUUGACAGGUCUGAUUAGUGGUGACCCCCCCAUCAGAGUAGAGACAGAGCUCACGGUUUAAAAGUUUCAUCGGGGCCAGGCGUGAUGGCUCACACCUGUAGUCCCAGAACUUCAAGAGGCAGAGGCAGAAGCAUCACUCCAGCCUAAGAGUUCAAGGCCAGCCUGGGCAACAUGACAAGACCCAUCUCUACAAAAAAUUUAAAAAUAAAAAGAUUUAAAGCUA
This 241-nucleotide small RNA is filed under the name Pongo abelii (Sumatran orangutan). RNAcentral's name for it is "sense intronic". The record is from RNAcentral. Lineage: Eukaryota; Metazoa; Chordata; Mammalia; Primates; Hominidae.